This 394-nucleotide ribosomal RNA is filed under the name uncultured bacterium. RNAcentral's name for it is "bacterial SSU rRNA". It matches the Rfam family "Bacterial small subunit ribosomal RNA", at positions 32 to 409 of the family's 1533-position model. The record is from RNAcentral.
AAUCAACGCUGGCGGCGUGCCUCGGACAUGCAAGUCGAACGCGAAAGUCUCCUUCGGGGGAUAAGUAGAGUGGCGCACGGGUGAGUAACACGUAGGUAAUCUACCUUUGGAUGGGGAAUAACAACCGGAAACGGUUGCUAAUACCGCAUAAUGCAGCGGCACCUAAUGGUGACAGUUGUUAAAGCGGGGGAUCGUAAGACCUCGCGUCUGAAGAGGAGCCUGCGGCGGAUUAGCAGUUGGUAAGGUAAUGGCUUACCAAGGCUACGAUCCGUAACCGGCCUGAGAGGGCGGUCGGUCACACUGACACUGACAUACGGGUCAGACUCCUACGGGAGCAGCAGUCGGAAUUUGGGCAAUGGGCGAAAGCCUGACCCAGCAACGCCGCGUGAAGGAU